Molecule: transfer RNA, 72 nt
Filed under: Camelus bactrianus (Bactrian camel)
Lineage: Eukaryota; Metazoa; Chordata; Mammalia; Artiodactyla; Camelidae
Also listed under: 2 other names
Rfam family: tRNA
About the family: Transfer RNA (tRNA) molecules are approximately 80 nucleotides in length. Their secondary structure includes four short double-helical elements and three loops (D, anti-codon, and T loops).
Source: Rfam by way of RNAcentral
GAGGGUAUAGCUCAGUGGUAGAACACUUGCUUAACAUGCAGGAGGUCAUAGGUUCGAUCGCCAAUACCUCCG